GUGCAGCAGUUCAAGCAAAACACAGUUUUGAUUCUCUCCGUCGGCGUUGCUCUCUUGCUCAGAAGGUCUCCCUCAAGUCUCCACCUGAUUUUGGGAAUAAUCUAUAGGAGAAUAUCAUCGAGAUCUCAUCGUUAGCUAUGGAGCAGUGCCUGUGAUCGUCCCAAGAGUUAGUGAAGUCCACAUGCUGCUGGAAAGCUUUGAGCCCAUCCAUGGAGUUCUUCUCUGCAUAUCGACCCAUCCCUUUACGAUGCAGAACUGUCUGGUUUUUCACUGGAAGAACUUGAAGAAGUUAAGGAACUGCAUGCAAGUGAUACCACCAUUGACAAAGAGAAAGACUCCAUUGAACUAAGGCUCGCAAAGCUUUGCCUCGAAAGAAACAUACCGUACUUGAGAAUAUGCAGGGGAUCACAAUUAAAUAAUCAACGUUGCAUGUGGGAACAUGUAUAAUAUAAAUAUUUACACAUACGUGGCCCCCACCUCAGAAG
Carya illinoinensis is the source of this 485-nucleotide long non-coding RNA. RefSeq lists it as uncharacterized. Lineage: Eukaryota; Viridiplantae; Streptophyta; Magnoliopsida; Fagales; Juglandaceae. The transcript has 2 exons. The record is from RefSeq and is a predicted model, not a curated record.